RNA transcript from Capsicum annuum, 2483 nucleotides. RefSeq lists it as uncharacterized. The transcript has 3 exons. The record is from RefSeq and is a predicted model, not a curated record. NCBI's taxonomy places the organism in Eukaryota, Viridiplantae, Streptophyta, Magnoliopsida, Solanales, Solanaceae.
CUGAUAAAGUUUUUCGCACAUUUUAUACACCAGAUCCUGAGAACAUUGAAAAGAAGGGAAGGAUGAGUUACUUUGGAACAAUCAUGGAAAGAGGAAAAGAGAAUGAAGGAGACCGAGAGAAGGAGGAAACAAACAACUCAUCGGUCAUUUCCAAAUCUGUCAGAUAACUGAAUGGAAAAUGCCAGCCAACACAGCAAGAGCAAAUCCAGUAGUAAUCAUGAAAACGGAGGCGGAACCAAUCAAGAUACAGGAAACCAAUCAAGUAGGGGAAAACGGAAGUGCGACGUAUAGAGUAAAAAUGGAGUUAGCUCUACAGGAGGAAAUAAUUAGCUGCUUCUCUUUCUCUGAUAGCUGCGAAGCAACAGACAGGAAUCUCAUUAAAAAUCUAAUGCAGGAAGGUUCGGACAGGGCUGAAGAACCUGUUGCUCAGAAUUAUUCAACUGUGGCUAGAUCAGCGAGGAUAUAUCAGUCUGGCAUCUUCCGAAAUAAUCCUAGAGGAAUCCACUAUUUGUUUUACGUUGAGCAAUAGUAAUUUCCAAUACCAUUUUGUGUAGUGGCUGCUCCACUAGACCUUUCGGUGAGGCAAGCAGCCAAGAAGAGUGCAACUUCCACAAUGACCACGUGCAACUCAAGCUGAUGGGCCACUGCUAUGCCUUGCACUGCGAGCUUGCUGCCACCGAACGCCGGCGACUUCAACUGUAAGUCUCUCUUUGAUACAUACAUGGAGUUGCCGACUCUCUGCUAUUGGGAAGGUAAGAAGUGAAACAGAAGGUCGGCAACCUCUCUACUAUAUGAAAGUUACCCUAUAUCUCAAGUUUUCUCUAGUUUUUGUAAAUCUUUCUAGUACUGAAGUUGUGAUUUUAGUUAUUGUGGACGUUUUAUCGCAGGAUGCGUUGGGGUAGGCGACGGGACCUGAUGAGAUACCUGUGGAUUUUUGGAAGUUCUUUAGUAAGGCUGGCUUAAGGUGGUUGACUGUAUUAUUUAACGGCAUUUUCAAGUCGGCGAAAAUGCCCGAGGCUUGUUGAUGGAGUACUAUGAUCCCUCUUUAUAAGAAUAAGAGUGACAUUCAGAGUUGCAAUAACUAUAGAGGUAUUAAGUUAUUGAGCCACACUAUGAAGAUUUGGGAGAGUGGUCGAGUUGAGGUUGAGGAGGAUAGUGUCUAUCUCGGAAAGUUAGUUUGGAUUUAUGCUCGGGCGCUCGACGACGGAGGCAAUUCACCUGGUGCGGAGACUGGUGGAACAGUAUAGGGAAAGGAAGAGAGAUCUGCAUAUGGUGUUUAUCGACUUGGAGAAGACUUACGACAAAGUCCCUAGGGAGGUGCUUUGAAGAUGCUUGAAGGUGAGUGGAGUACCGAUGGCGUAUAUUAGAGCAAUCAAGGACAUGUAUAAUGGAGCUAAGACUCAGAUGAGGACGGCGAGAGGAGACUCAGAGCAUUUCCCUGUCUUGACGGGGUUGCACCAGGUUCCACUCUUAGCGCCUUUUUGUUUGCUUUGGUGAUGGAUGUGUUGACGCGGCGUAUUCAAGGAGAGGUGCCUUGGUGUAUGCUUUUUGCAGAUGAUGUAGUUUUGAUUGAUGAGACGCGUGGUGGGGGGAGGUGAAUGAUAAAUUAGAGGUGUGAAGACAGACCCUUGAAUCUAAAGGGUUCAGGUUGAGCAAGAGCAAGACAGAAUAUUUGGAAUGCAAGUUUAAUGAUGUGAGGUAGGAAGACGAGGUGGUAGUGAGGUUGGAUUCCCAGACGGUGUGUAAGAGGGAUAGUUUCAAGUAUCUGGGGUCCAUGAUUCGGGGAAUGGUGAGAUUGACGAGGAUGUCUCCCACCGUAUUGGGGCGGGAUGAAUGAAGUGGAAGCUCGCCUCGGGGGUGUUGUGUGAUAGGAAGGUGCCGCCCAAGCUUAAAGGCAAAUUCUACAGGAUGACAGUCCGUCCGGCCAUGUUGUAUGGAGCGGAAUGUUGGCCAGUCAAGAACUCUCACAUUCAAAAAUUGAAGGUGGCGGAAAUGCGGAUGUUGCGUUGGAUUUGUGGGCUUAAUAGGGGUGAUAGAGUUCGAAAUGAGACUAUUCAGGAAAAGCUUGGAGUGGCUUCGGUGGAGGACAAGAUGCGGGAAGUUCGAUUGAGAUGGUUCGGGCAUGUGAUGAGGAGGGGCACGAAUGCCCCGAUUCGUAGGUGUGAGAAGCUUGCUUUGGAUGGUUUCAGGCGGGGUAGGGAUAGGCCGAAGAAAUAUUGGAGAGAGGUGAUCAGGCGGGACAUGGAGCAGUUACAGCUCACUGAGGACAUGACCCUAGAUAGUAAGAUCUAGAGGACGCGGAUUAGGAUAGAAGGCUAGUGCCAGUUUGAGUCGUUGGGGUAGGACAUUACUUGGUAAAUGUAUUAUUCUUGCUAGGACACUUUGUUGCAUGAGUUAUUACAAAUGUGUUUACUAUUCCUCGUGGGUGGCGUAUUUAUGUCUUGAUAUCUUGUUCCAUGCUUUAUUAAGUAUUUGUUUAUUAU